RNAcentral lists this ribosomal RNA (612 nucleotides) under uncultured Bacteroidales bacterium. RNAcentral's name for it is "bacterial SSU rRNA". It matches the Rfam family "Bacterial small subunit ribosomal RNA", at positions 109 to 717 of the family's 1533-position model. Lineage: Bacteria; Pseudomonadati; Bacteroidota; Bacteroidia; Bacteroidales. The record is from RNAcentral.
AGUAUCGCGUAUCCAACCUUCCCUCCACUCGGGGAUACCCCGUUGAAAGACGGCCUAAUACCCGAUGUUGUCCACAUAUGGCAUCUGACGUGGACCAAAGAUUCAUCGGUGGAGGAUGGGGAUGCGUCUGAUUAGCUUGUUGGUGCGGGUAACGGCCCACCAAGGCGACGAUCAGUAGGGGUUCUGAGAGGAAGGUCCCCCACAUUGGAACUGAGACACGGUCCAAACUCCUACGGGAGGCAGCAGUGAGGAAUAUUGGUCAAUGGACGUAAGUCUGAACCAGCCAAGUAGCGUGCAGGAUUGACGGCCCUAUGGGUUGUAAACUGCUCUUGUUGGGGAGUAAAGUGAGGCACGUGUGCCUUUUUGCAUUUACCCUUCGAAUAAGGACCGGCUAAUUCCGUGCCAGCAGCCGCGGUAAUACGGAAGGUCCAGGCGUUAUCCGGAUUUAUUGGGUUUAAAGGGAGUGUAGGCGGUCCGUUAAGCGUGUUGUGAAAUUUAGGUGCUCAACACCUACCUUGCAGCGCGAACUGGCGGACUUGAGUGCACGCAACGUAUGCGGAAUUCAUGGUGUAGCGGUGAAAUGCUUAGAUAUCAUGACGAACUCCGAUUGCG